GACAGAGGACUCAGUGUGGAGAUGGGUGGGGAGAACCAGCAGGUUAUUCCUGUAACAUCACUGUUUUUCCAUGGGACAGUGGAGUUUACUGGUGUGAGUCCAGAGAGGGUCCCAUCAGUAACAUGGUUAACCUGACAGUCACUGCUUAAAACCCUCUUGGAUAGAACAUCAACUCUAAACGAGCACAGAUAUGCAAUGUGUAUAAAAUCAACUAAACCUGUGAAUAGAAUGAAUGUGAUGACAAACAUAUUCAAUGCAAUGUGAACCCUGUAAACAAUAUUACUGAUAAACAAUGCUGUAAAACAUGUUCUUAAUGCAAUCAUAAUAAUGCAGAUUAUAUAGUAGGAAUAAAAGAAUUUCUGAAUCCCCACAUUCCCUCAGUGCACACUGUAAAGUGUAAAAGAUACAAUUAGCUUUCUCCUGGUAAAAGGUCCUACAUUAUUUUCUCAACCUUUGGAAACCUCCUCUAUCGAGUUAACCCAUUUCAUUUUUUCAAACUUAGGCCUGAUUUCUUCGCCCCCUUUAACGGGUAGCGCAUAUCCGGAUUAUUUCAGGAUUUCUAUGUUAUGUAAAUUUCCUCUCAUCCCUUUUAUGCUUCCAUUAUAACCUAUGUCUAACAAGCUUUUGAUCUUCUUUGUAACAUAAACAACUAGGUGUAUUUGUGCUCUGUUUUUCUCCUUUCUCUGGUUGGUUCCGUUCGGUCUGGGGCUUCCAGGAUUCUCGCCCCCCUAUGGUCGCUGUGGUCCUGAAAUCUUCUCCUGUAAAAGAUAGAAAACAAAAAGCCUCUCUCUGCUACACCUCACUAAUCUACUGUGUUCAUCCAAUGUUCCUUUAAUUAUUCAAACUUGGUUCACAAUAUCAUGUUCUGGGCUUUAUCCUUUUUAUUAACUUUACUUAAUCUCAAUACCCUUUAUAUGUGUGAGGAACGCUUUUAGUUUUAUUAAACACACCCCGGGUAAAAUAUACACCAUCCCCAUGUCAGCCUAACUCUCCGCUAGAAAGCACGCUUCAAAAUUUUCUAUCAGGAUUUACACCUCUUUUUGCUUCAGGCAUAUACAUAACAUGCAAAAAUUACUGUUAGUGCCAGUUACACAAGUUUCCAUUAUUUACAACAUUUUGUUUCACCCGUCUCACCCUCACAUGUUUCCUUUUCACUUAUUACAUACUUAUCUUUAACACCGUCUGCCUCACUAGUUGCUAAGCAGAAACAAAGCACCAUGUGUUCCACCUUUGCCCUAUAAAAUAAAUCUAUAUCAUGUUUGUGUCUGUAAGCAUGUUUUGCAUUCAUUCAUUACACUCCACGCCAUCCCUGCAAGUUAAGAGCUAUACAGUUAAAAGCUACAGGCCUUUGGCCUCGCCUAUUUCAAAUAAAGCAGGAGAGUUUCAUUUUGCUUUAAAAAUAACUCUAUUUAAAAAUAACAAUUUCUGCCUCAGUUUUACCAUAACUAAAUUAUCAACAACCACAAAAGUCAUAAAAUGAUCCUAGAACCCAUCUCAAAUUACCUCUUAAAUUCCCCCUUUAUAUUUGGACACACCAGAUGUGUCCAAAUAAAUAAAAACUCAAAAAACUCAAAAUGCAUCACCCGGGCUUAAGAAAUUAAAGGAAAAAGGUUAGUCAUAUCAUCUCUCAGAACAGCUCAGCAAUCCUCCUCUCUGCUCCGGCCCUGAAAACCUGUGCUUAAGGAAUAAAAUCAAUUUAAUCGUCAUGUCAAAUCUUCUCAAACUCCUUGCUCCAUGCAAAAGUCUGGAUCCUUGGAAUUUCCUGGAAACAAAACCUACACUUUACAUUUCAUACUCAACUCUCCCCAUUUAUGAUCCAAUCUGUGUUACAACAAAGAAAACUUAAAACAGAACAGUUAUCAAUCAUGUGUUUCUUCAGUUAAUAGUAACAUGAGUUAUAUCAAACAAUGUUUCCCUUUUAGCAUUUAGCAUUUUAUAAUGUAAUAACAUAAUCCAACCCCAGUAAAUAAAACAAAAAUUCCCUCCAAACAAAAAUCAGCAUCCCCAGAAUUAAGUCUUCCACUUGUCCUGUUUGUCAACAUUUUAUUCAUCCCCACCUUGGUCCAGUCACACACUCACUCACAUGCAUUCACACAUGAUAUUUUUUGCUGAUCUGCAGCCUUCUGCGCACGUCAUCAGAUGCUCCACAUCAGCAAAAUGAGCUCAAUCAUUUGUUUUAUUUCGUUUUCCUUUUUAGGAAAAUAGUUCUCUACACUUUUGACUGGAUUGACUCGCUGCAAUCCUUACUUGGUAAUUUGUCCGCGCCGUCAGUUCACUCUCUUCCAGGCCUGCUUAGAGCAAAAAUGAGAAAAAAGAGAGCUGAUUGUUAGCUCAUCAAAGUACAAAACAAAAUCACCUGACAGGUUUUUUCUAAGUACACUGUUAUAAAAACUAUGGGCCCUUUUAGACAUGUCCAUGUUUAUCAAAACUCCCUCUAUUAAAAUGAAAAACAACAGCCCCAAAAAAUCUUAAACAAUCUUAAAUUUCACCCAUUCAACUCACUGAAAACCUUGUCAAAACUGCACCGUUUUACACACAACCAUGUCCCCUUUACAACAAUGUAUCUUUACCAUACUUAGAUUCAGCCUAAAAUAUAAACACGUUAUAACAAUGUGUCAACACUAAAUUAUAAAUUUCUUGUCCAAAUUUGCACCUCUGAACUGUCUACUUUGCUUCCUUUCCUCAAGGCCUCAAUCACACACACAGCAAGCUCCUCUGUCGUCACUCACUCGAGCUAAUUUACAUACUGUAUCAUAUCUCCACAAGUAAACUUGGCAAGAGAAAUACAUGUUUAAAACUUAUCAUAUUAUUCAAUUAUUUUCAUUUUCUUUCUAUACUAAUCACUUACUUUGAUCAAUCAGUGCAAGAGCACUCCUAAGUCACCCUUUUAAACUACUUUAAUCACUUCUCUUUUGUUUUUUGUUUUUUUUGUUUUUUCCAUAACUCACUCCCUUGUCAUACAGCUUCGUUUGAGUUAUUCCACAACUCUAUUUUAUCCAAGUGUGUUUUAAGUGUAUUUUCUUCAACGUUCACACCAUUUUAACACUCAUGAAAUUAGCAAGCGGAUUUAAUUACAUAUGUUUGUGUUCUUAGCCAGGUUUUAAUCACUAUCUAUGCAUUACUCUUCAUUACCUUAUCUCUGUAAGGUUAGUGCAUUUUCUGUUUGUAUGUGUGAUUUUUAUAAAUGUUUCUUUGUGAUCUUUGUGAUCUUGUAAAUGUUUCUUUUGCAGUGUUUCAGACUCCUUUUGACAGGGUGUGUUUUCUCUCUCUGGCUCAUCACUGGUCAUUGUUAAUGACAUUUCCCCUCCGCCUGUGCCCAGCGGCUGUACCCUUCAAGUCCCGUCUCCUCCAGUGACUCCAAGGUCACUCCGGGACUUAGGUUCAAGCAAUCGUGACUGCGCCUUGCCUUAGGUUGUCCCAGGGUUUCGAGGUGGGAUCUUACCCGUCAUGGGCUGUCCAGCCUUCCAUGCUGCCUUAUACGGGGGCCAACUGGGCAAGGGUGUUAUCAGGUCUAGGGGACACACUGGUUCUGGAAAUUAAAGGAGUGUAAACUGCUUUCUUUAUUUCAUGUGUGUAUUAAACUUUCCAACAAUAAUUUCACAUGGAACAGUUAGUGUACGUGCGUUUUCAAUUCAUUAAUGUAAUUGUUAGUUCAUGUAUUUAUUUCUCUCGGUCUGUCUCUUUCCUAAAACCUGUAAUUAAUAUAAUUUUAUUACUUUAUUACUUUUUCUUAAAACAUGCAUUCGCUUCAUCUUCUUAGAAUUUAACUCUGUCUAUUUCUCUGGGUGCUCCCCUGACAUCAUCAGUUACACACACACCUUCCUCUC
Molecule: long non-coding RNA, 3827 nt
Organism: Oreochromis aureus
Lineage: Eukaryota; Metazoa; Chordata; Actinopteri; Cichliformes; Cichlidae
Source: Ensembl